This 406-nucleotide ribosomal RNA is filed under the name uncultured bacterium. RNAcentral's name for it is "partial 16S ribosomal RNA". It matches the Rfam family "Bacterial small subunit ribosomal RNA", at positions 30 to 526 of the family's 1533-position model. The record is from RNAcentral.
AUUGAACGCUGGCGGCAGGCCUAACACAUGCAAGUCGAGCGAACGGCGAACGUGUGAGUAGUGUAUGGGGAUCUGCCCGAUAGAGGUGGCUAACUACUGGAAACGGUGGCUAAUACCGCAUACUAACGGAUGAACCCGUAUGGGAUUAGCUAGUAGGUGGGGUAAAGUCUUACCAAGGCGACGAUCUCUAGCUGGUCUGAGAGGAUGAUCAGCCACAUUGGGACUGAGACACGGCCCAGACUCCUACGGGAGGCAGCAGUGGGGAAUCUUGCACAAUGGGCGCAAGCCUGAUGCAGCCAUGCCGCGUGUAUGAAGAAGGUCUUAGGGUUGUAAAGUACUGUCAGCGGGGAGGCGUUACCCGCAGAAGAAGCACCGGCUAACUCCGUGCCAGCAGCCGCGGUAAUUC